GCGACCCCAGGAUGGGCGAGAU
RNAcentral lists this ribosomal RNA (22 nucleotides) under Caleana major. RNAcentral's name for it is "partial 26S ribosomal RNA". The record is from RNAcentral. Lineage: Eukaryota; Viridiplantae; Streptophyta; Magnoliopsida; Asparagales; Orchidaceae.